This 459-nucleotide ribosomal RNA is filed under the name uncultured bacterium. Its description in RNAcentral is "partial 16S ribosomal RNA". It matches the Rfam family "Bacterial small subunit ribosomal RNA", at positions 28 to 506 of the family's 1533-position model. The record is from RNAcentral.
GACGAACGCUGGCGGCGCGCUUAACACAUGCAAGUCGAGCGGUAAGGCCUCUUCGGGGGUACACGAGCGGCGAACGGGUGAGUAACACGUGGGUGACCUGCCCUCAGCUCUGGGAUAAGCCUGGGAAACUGGGUCUAAUACCGGAUAUGACCUUUCCUCGCAUGGGGUUUGGUGGAAAGUUUUUUCGGCUGGGGAUGGGCCCGCGGCCUAUCAGCUUGUUGGUGGGGUGAUGGCCUACCAAGGCGACGACGGGUAGCCGGCCUGAGAGGGCGACCGGCCACACUGGGACUGAGACACGGCCCAGACUCCUACGGGAGGCAGCAGUGGGGAAUAUUGCGCAAUGGGCGGAAGCCUGACGCAGCGACGCCGCGUGGGGGAUGACGGCCUUCGGGUUGUAAACCUCUUUCGACCCCGACGAAUUUGGACGGUAGGGGUAGAAGAAGCACCGGCCAACUACGU